RNAcentral lists this small RNA (578 nucleotides) under Pongo abelii (Sumatran orangutan). Its description in RNAcentral is "processed transcript". The record is from RNAcentral. Lineage: Eukaryota; Metazoa; Chordata; Mammalia; Primates; Hominidae.
AAAUGUGAUCUCACUCAGUUGAAAAAGAAACAAUCAGAAGUGAGCAAUGGGAGCCGUGAAACCAUCUCAAUGAAGACUUGUUGCCAACAUGGAGAUAGAGGAUAUUGGUCUACAGGGUACUAUUGGAGAGGUAACUGUGAGGCUUUUACACCCAGACAGCCCUUCUGUGCAUGGGGGUCCUGAUGACAACUUAAUUGAAGGUGGAGGAACAAAAUUUGUCUGCAAACCUGGAGCCAGAAAUAUUACUGUCAUAUUCCACCCAUUACUAAGAUUUAUUCAGGAGAUUGAGCAUGCCCUGGGUCUUGGCCCAGCCAAACAGUGUCCUCUUCGAGAGUUUCUUACCGUGUACAUCAAAAACAUCUUUCUCAAUCAAGUCUUGGCUGAGAUCAACAAGGAGAUUGAAGGAGUCACUAAAACAUCUGACCCUUUGAAGAUUCUGGCCAACGCAGACACCAUGAAGGUGCUGGGAGUGCAGCGGCCUCUCCUACAGAGCACAAUCAUUGUGGAGAAGACGGUGCAAGAUCUCCUGAACCUGAUGCAUGACUUGAGUGCAUAUUCAGAUCAAUUCCUCAACAUGG